Molecule: ribosomal RNA, 253 nt
Filed under: uncultured bacterium
Lineage: Bacteria
Description: partial 16S ribosomal RNA
Rfam family: Bacterial small subunit ribosomal RNA
Source: RNAcentral
UACGAAGGUCCCGAGCGUUAUCCGGAUUUAUUGGGCGUAAAGGGCGCGUAGGUGGCGCCGUAAGUCGGGUGUGAAAUUUCGGAGCUUAACUCCGACACUGCAUUCGAUACUGCGGUGCUUGAGGACUGGAGAGGAGACUGGAAUUCAUGGUGUAGCAGUGAAAUGCGUAGAGAUCAUGAGGAAGACCAGUGGCGAAGGCGGGUCUCUGGACAGUUCCUGACACUGAGGCACGAAGGCCAGGGGAGCAAACGGG